RNA transcript from Gossypium raimondii (Peruvian cotton), 3071 nucleotides. It is a transcript of the gene named two-component response regulator-like APRR7, with no coding region annotated. Lineage: Eukaryota; Viridiplantae; Streptophyta; Magnoliopsida; Malvales; Malvaceae. The transcript has 10 exons. The record is from RefSeq and is a predicted model, not a curated record.
AAUUAUCCAGUCGCUCUGUUUCUCAGGCAGUCAAUUUAUUUAAGACAAAGUAAAUAGCGAAUUAAAAAUUUUUUGGUAUUAAGUGAAAAUUCUCAUUUUAAUAUAAAAAUUAUGGUUUAAAUUUGUGUUUUUUUGGUUUAAUUUUUGUGUAAUGUUGAAUUUUGUUAUCCAAAUCUGUGUUCGAUCGACCUCAAUAAUGGUGGUUAGUGAAGCUUUUGGUGAGGAUUAUAUUUAUUUCUAGCACCUGGUGAAAGCAGCUUAUGUAGUAUGGAGUUGGUUCCUGAAGAUUAGAAGGCGUUAUAUUUUGCUGUGAGGUUUGGCUUCUUGAAGACGAAGCUACGUACUAUUUAAUUUGGGAAUUGAAGAAGGAUUUUAAUUUAUCCUAUGUUGUUCUGUCCUUAUUGCUAUCAGUCUUUUCUAGUCUGGUUUACAGGUAAGUGUCUAGAUGAUUGUUGAUAGCUAUUGUGACAAAGGGUUACGAGAGCUAAACCGUCAGCUAUAUGAUGGAAAUGAGAAAUACAAAUGGAGUUGUGGCUGAGGAACUUGGGACGCUAGAAGGAGAUGACCUGAAAGUUGACAAGAUUGCACAAAAUGUUAAAGAUUGUCAUGUCGGGGUUGUUCAGGCCCCUGCUGUGCUCCAGAUACAACAGCAACAGCCUCAAAGUGCAUCGGGUUGUUGGGAGAGGUUUCUGCAUCAGGCAUCAAUUAAGGUUCUGCUUGUAGAAAAUGAUGAUUCUACUCGCCAUGUUGUUGCCGCACUUCUGCGCAAUUGCAGAUACGAAGUUAUUGAAGCUGCAAGUGGACUGCAAGCAUGGAAAAUACUAGAAGACUUGACCAAUCAUAUUGAUCUUGUAUUGACUGAGGUGUUUAUGCCCUGCUUUUCUGGCAUUUUUCUUUUGAGCAAGAUUAUGAGCCACAAAACACGUAAAAAUGUUCCUGUGAUCAUGAUGUCAUCUCAUGAUUCAAUUGGUAUAGUCUUUAAGUGUUUGUCAAAAGGUGCAGUUGACUUUUUAGUGAAGCCUAUUCGAAAGAAUGAGCUUAAGAACCUUUGGCAGCAUGUUUGGAGGAGAUGCCAUAGUUCUAGUGGUAGUGGUAGUGGAAGUGAGAGUGGAACGCAAACUCAAAAAUCAGAGAAAUCAGGAAGUGUUGAGAAUUCUGACAACAGUGGCAGCAACGACGAGGAAGAUAAUGAGAAUAACGGUCUAAAUGUUGGGGAUGGUAGUGAUGAUGGGAGUGGCACUCAGAGUUCUUGGACGAAACAAGCAGCAGAAAUCAAAAGCCCCAGUCCAGUCUCACCUCAGGAUCGAGUUGCUGAGUGCCCUGAUAGUACAUGUGCUCAAGUUAUCCAUUCAAAUGCAGAAGCAUCUGGGAACAAAGGGGUGCCAGCAACUGCACCUAGAGGGUGCCAAGAAUUAGAUGAACAGCUUGAUGAUGUUCCAAUGGGUAAAGGCCUGGAUAUACGCAUGGCAGGAAGUGUAGAUUUACAACGAGAGCGCCCAGUUGAGGUCCCAAUCAAAACAAUUGGAGCGAACCAAAUUAACCUACUUGAGAUGAGCUUCAAUAAAUUGAAUGAACCAAUUGAUAAAAGGCAGCUGGAUCUCAAUACCAAAAGCUCAUCUGGCGAAUUAAAUUCUGAAGCUGCUCAUCAAACCGACAUCACCUCUAAAACUAAUGAUCUUAAGAAGGAAAGUACAGAGUAUGAGGCUUCAAACAGGAUUUCCAAGAUCUCAGAUGGCAAUGAUAAAACCACUGAUGAUUCUAAAGAAGUACUGCCUUCUACUGAACUUGGGUUUAAAAGACUUAGAGGAGCUGAAGACUCUGAGGCCAUGUUGAGGGAUGAGCGAAAUGUUUUGAGACGUUCAAACUCUUCGGCCUUCUCAAGGUAUAAUAUGGCAUCGAAUGCAAAUAAGUUUUCCUUUGUCAACACCGGAAGCUCAUCUGCACGUGAUAGUAAGUUAGAACUGACAAGAAAACGAUCAGUAUGCGAUGUUCAAUCUCCUUUGGUUAAUGACCUUCCCAAUCAGUACUCAAAUGUUGGUAGCAAUAACAUCAAUAUGGCCUCUACAACUGAUAAUGCUUUUGCCAAGCCAGCUGUUUUGAAGAAUAAGUCAGCUUCAUCAUCCACAUUCAGAUUGGGACAUCCAUCGUCUGCCUUCCAGCCUAUGAAAAAUGACCUUUUAAAUGCGGCUCGGAAACCCGUAUUAGACAAAGCUGAUGGUGUAACUACUAAAGCUGGACUCAAACAGCCUAGACUGACUCACCAAGAACUUGAUAUGCAAGACCGCCUACAGCAUCAGCAGCCAACUGAUCAUGACACAUUAUCUUUGAAAAAAAUGGCUGCAGACGCUCCCCAUUGUGGGUCAUCCAAUGUGUUGGGUGGGCCUGUUCCUGUUGAAGGAAAUGCUGGCAACUACAGUGUCAAUGGAAGUAACUCGGGUAGUAACCACGCAAGCAAUGGGCCACAUGGAAGUAGCACCCUAGCCGAUACUGUAGGGACAAACAUAGAAAGCGAUAAUGGAAUAGCUGGGAAAAGUGGAAGCGGUGGAAGUGGUGAUGCAAGUGGGACAGGGAGCGGGCGCGGGAGUGGAAGCAAGGUAGACCAAAGCAAAUCUGCAUGUCGGGAAGCUGCAUUGACCAAAUUUCGACAGAAGCGAAAAGAUCGAUGCUUCCGGAAAAAGGUCCGAUAUCAAAGUAGGAAAAGGUUAGCACAACAACGACCUAGUAUCCGAGGGCAAUUCGUGUGACAAACGGUGAACACCAAUGACCCCUCAUCUGAAGGCAAUCCAUCCGACAAAUAGCAAAGAGGAAAACACUAGAAGAGUCCAGCUGAUAAGGUAACAAGAUUUGAUCCACUCCUCUGAUAAAAUACCUUGUUGUAAUAUUAUUUGGGAAUGUUAAAAAGACUUGAUGAACUCCUUUUUUUAUUGUUAUAUUUAUUGUUAUAAGCUUUAAAAAAUGUGCCUUAAAGGGGAACUGAAAGAAGGCAGAAAAACUUCUAUAAUAAUUAUCCAUUUUGUGUUGUCUAUUGGAUCGAUGAAACAUCAUUAAACACUACUGCUUGCUUUGAUAAA